Molecule: ribosomal RNA, 305 nt
Filed under: uncultured bacterium
Lineage: Bacteria
Description: bacterial SSU rRNA
Rfam family: Bacterial small subunit ribosomal RNA
Source: RNAcentral
UGGCCUACGGGACGCAGCAGUGAGGAAUAUUGGUCAAUGGGCGGGAGCCUGAACCAGCCAAGUCGCGCGAGGGAAGACGGUCCUAUGGAUUGUAAACCUCUUUUGUCGGGGAGCAAAGAGAUCACGUGUGGUCAAAAGCGAGAGUACCCGAAGAAAAAGCAUCGGCUAACUCCGUGCCAGCAGCCGCGGUAAUACGGAGGAUGCGAGCGUUAUCCGGAUUUAUUGGGUUUAAAGGGUGCGCAGGCGGACCAUCAAGUCAGCGGUAAAAUCGUGGGGCCCAACCCCAUCCCGCCGGUGAAACUGGG